UUAUUUGCAUCUGGUUCUAGCAAGGGAAUUGCUGCGAAGGCCCUCAAACAGGGGGGCCAUCCUUUCGAAUCCCUAUCUAGUUGUUUAGAGAUGUAGGCCACCGGCCUCAGCCAAGGCCCCACAGUUUGGGUUAAAAGUCCAGCUGCCAUCUUUUCUCUCUGACGCAUACAAUGGAAAAGGCUUUGUGAGAUCGGGUAGCCCCUCGGCUGGGGCUUUCAGAAGUUUUUCCUUUAAGUCAUGAAAGACUUGCUGUUGUUGGAAUCCCCAUUCCAAAAGUUCCCGGUCCCCGCCCCCAUUGUGACCUCAUACAAAGGCUUGGCUAAUACUGCAAAGUUUGGGAUUCCCAGUCUACAAAACCCCACAGCUCCUAGGAAUUCUCUCACCACCCUUGUGCCUUUAGGCUUCGGUAGAUUGCAAAUGACCUGCUUUCUUUCGGAUCCCGGGCUGCUUUCGGACACCUGUCGAAUAGUAAAUCCCAAGUAAGGUACCUGCGGUCGUCGGCAGAUCUGAAUUUUCUUCUUGGACACCUAAUACCCACAGCCCUCCAGAGACCGAGAGGUUGAUGUCACUCCCAAUAUCGGAGGAAGUAUACACCCCCGUGUGAGAUGGUCCUUAAUAAUAUUCCACGGCGGAGGGGGUGAUAUGACUACAUACAUGGCAGAAAGUGGAAACCUCCCAGGGAUAUUGUUCCCACGAUCCUGGAGGGAAGAAGAUGAUGUUACUUUCAAUAUGACAGAAGGUGGAUGAAGUGGUGGACUGCCCCUCCACACCUGUGGACACGCCCCCACUGAUAUUCCUUCUAAUUGCAGCGUGGGAGAGGAGGAUAUGACACGCGAUAUCGCAGGGAGUAGAAACACCCCUGUGAUACUGUUCUUAAUAUUCAGAUGGACACGCCCCCACUGAUAUUGUUUUUAAUGCAGCGUGGGAGGGGAGGAUAUGACACGCGAUAUCGCAGCUGAGUGCCACGUGCUGACGUCACUAAGAUCAAUACAGCAAACUCUGAAAGAUGGACAGAGAGACAGGAGAUGGUCCUUUAUAAUGCAGUGUGAUCUGUGCUGCAAUAGAGUUUUGGAAGCUAGAAGUUCAAAACGAGGUGUUGGCAGCACCAUGCUCUCUCUGAAGAUGCUAGGAAGAAUCUGCUCCAUGCCUUUCCAUUCGCUCCUGGGGUUUCCUGCAAGCCCUGACAUUCCUUGGCUUGUAGAUGCAUCACCCCAGUUUCCGCCCCCAUCAUCACAUGGCCUCCUCUCUGUGUGUGCCUCUGCGUUCCCUCUAUUCUUCUUCUAAGGACACCGACACCAGUCAUAGUGGAUUAAGGGUCCACUCCUAACCAAUUACAUCUGCAACAACCCUAUUUCCAAAUAAAGUCACAUUCUAAGA
RNAcentral lists this long non-coding RNA (1377 nucleotides) under Homo sapiens (human). RNAcentral's name for it is "HSALNT0352579". Lineage: Eukaryota; Metazoa; Chordata; Mammalia; Primates; Hominidae. The record is from RNAcentral.